CCUUCCUGUAGAAAAGAGCUACCCACUACGGGUCUCCUCUGGGCUGAGAGCUGGACACUUAUUGGAAUGACCUGCCUGCAGAAAGG
Molecule: microRNA precursor, 86 nt
Filed under: Chlorocebus sabaeus (green monkey)
Lineage: Eukaryota; Metazoa; Chordata; Mammalia; Primates; Cercopithecidae
Description: miRNA (ENSCSAG00000025202.1)
Source: RNAcentral